RNAcentral lists this ribosomal RNA (244 nucleotides) under uncultured bacterium. Its description in RNAcentral is "partial 16S ribosomal RNA". It matches the Rfam family "Bacterial small subunit ribosomal RNA", at positions 524 to 766 of the family's 1533-position model. The record is from RNAcentral.
UACGGGGGGGGCAAGCGUUGUUCGGAAUUACUGGGCGUAAAGGGCUCGUAGGCGGCCAACUAAGUCAGACGUGAAAUCCCUCGGCUUAACCGGGGAACUGCGUCUGAUACUGGAUGGCUAGAGGUUGGGAGAGGGAUGCGGAAUUCCAGGUGUAGCGGUGAAAUGACGUAGAUAUCUGGAGGAACACCGGUGGCGAAGGCGGCAUCCUGGACCAAUUCUGACGCUGAGGAGCGAAAGCCAGGGG